GAAAGAAUUUCGGUAGGGGAUGGGCAUGCGGCGCAUUAGGUAGUUGGCGGGGUAACGGCCCACCAAGCCGACGAUGCGUAGGGGUUCUGAGAGGAAGGUCCCCCACACUGGUACUGAGACACGGACCAGACUCCUACGGGAGGCAGCAGUGAGGAAUAUUGGUCAAUGGGCGAUAGCCUGAACCAGCCAAGUCGCGUGAGGGAAGACGGCCCUAUGGGUUGUAAACCUCUUUUGUCGGGGAGCAAGGUCGCUACGUGUAGCGAUUUGAGAGUACCCGAAGAAAAAGCAUCGGCUAACUCCGUGCCAGCAGCCGCGGUAAUACGGAGGAUGCGAGCGUUAUCCGGAUUUAUUGGGUUUAAAGGGUGCGUAGGCGGGAGAUCAAGUCAGCGGUAAAAAUGCGGGGCCCAACCCCGUCGAGCCGUUGAAACUGGUUUUCUUGAGUGGGCGAGAGGUAUGCGGAAUGCGUGGUGUAGCGGUGAAAUGCAUAGAUAUCACGCAGAACCCCGAUUGCGAAGGCAGCAUACCGGCGCCCAACUGACGCUGAGGCACGAAAGCGUGGGUAUCGAACAGGAUUAGAUGCCCUGGUAGUCCACGCAGUAAACGAUGAACACUACCUGUUCGGCCUGACUGAAGGCUGA
RNAcentral lists this ribosomal RNA (638 nucleotides) under uncultured bacterium. RNAcentral describes it as "bacterial SSU rRNA". It matches the Rfam family "Bacterial small subunit ribosomal RNA", at positions 202 to 842 of the family's 1533-position model. The record is from RNAcentral.